UGUAAAUGAUGAGAAGGCUUUCCCGACAUCGCUGUGAGGGUACAAACUGAUUUAAUGAGCCUGAUGC
This is a small nucleolar RNA of Etheostoma cragini (Arkansas darter), 67 nucleotides long. The record is from RefSeq and is a predicted model, not a curated record. NCBI's taxonomy places the organism in Eukaryota, Metazoa, Chordata, Actinopteri, Perciformes, Percidae.